Molecule: ribosomal RNA, 552 nt
Filed under: Trachelyopterus galeatus (common driftwood catfish)
Lineage: Eukaryota; Metazoa; Chordata; Actinopteri; Siluriformes; Auchenipteridae
Description: partial large subunit ribosomal RNA
Rfam family: Bacterial large subunit ribosomal RNA
Source: RNAcentral
AGGUCUUGCCUGCCCAGUGACAAGUUAAACGGCCGCGGUAUUUUGACCGUGCAAAGGUAGCGCAAUCACUUGUCUUUUAAAUGAAGACCCGUAUGAAUGGUGAAACGAGGGCUUAACUGUCUCCCCUCUCAAGUCAAUGAAAUUGAUCUGCCCGUGCAGAAGCGGACAUAUAAAUACAAGACGAGAAGACCCUUUGGAGCUUAAGAUAUAAAAUCAACUAUGUCAAUAAAACCAAAAAUCAAAUUAAACUAAAUAGCACCUGAUUCUUAUCUUCGGUUGGGGCGACCACGGAAGAAAACAAAGCUUCCAUGCGGACUGGGGCUUAUAAGCUCUAAAACCAAGAAAGACAUUUCUAAGUAACAGAACAUCUGACCACUAAGAUCCGGCAACCAAAGCCGAUCAACGGACCAAGUUACCCUAGGGAUAACAGCGCAAUCCCCUUUAAGAGUCCAUAUCGACAAGGGGGUUUACGACCUCGAUGUUGGAUCAGGACAUCCUAAUGGUGCAGCCGCUAUUAAGGGUUCGUUUGUUCAACGAUUAAAGUCCUACGUG